RNAcentral lists this small RNA (165 nucleotides) under Saccharolobus islandicus HVE10/4. RNAcentral's name for it is "Sulfolobus islandicus HVE10/4 non-coding RNA". The stretch from base 14 to 98 matches the Rfam family "Fluoride riboswitch aptamer (crcB RNA motif)". RNAcentral also lists the same sequence under 1 other name. Lineage: Archaea; Thermoproteati; Thermoproteota; Thermoprotei; Sulfolobales; Sulfolobaceae. The record is from RNAcentral.
GCGGAGUUUACUCAAUGAAGUAGGGGAUGGCGUCCCCCUGGGGAUAACCCCGAACCGCCUCUUGAUUAAUGAUAGGGGCUGAUGACGCCUACUUCACCACAAAAGGGUGGGAAGUAUGGCGCCAAAUGAAGCUCAGAUAGUAGUUUUAACCAUAACUCAAGUUAU